RNAcentral lists this ribosomal RNA (521 nucleotides) under uncultured bacterium. Its description in RNAcentral is "partial 16S ribosomal RNA". It matches the Rfam family "Bacterial small subunit ribosomal RNA", at positions 355 to 893 of the family's 1533-position model. The record is from RNAcentral.
UGGGGAAUCUUAGACAAUGGGGGAAACCCUGAUCUAGCCAUGCCGCGUGAGCGAUGAAGGCCUUAGGGUUGUAAAGCUCUUUCAGCUGGGAAGAUAAUGACGGUACCAGCAGAAGAAGCCCCGGCUAACUCCGUGCCAGCAGCCGCGGUAAUACGGAGGGGGCUAGCGUUGUUCGGAAUUACUGGGCGUAAAGCGCACGUAGGCGGAUUAGUCAGUCAGAGGUGAAAUCCCAGGGCUCAACCCUGGAACUGCCUUUGAUACUGCUAGUCUUGAGGUCGAGAGAGGUGAGUGGAAUUCCGAGUGUAGAGGUGAAAUUCGUAGAUAUUCGGAGGAACACCAGUGGCGAAGGCGGCUCACUGGCUCGAUACUGACGCUNAGGUGCGAAAGCGNGGGGAGCAAACAGGAUUAGAUACCCUGGUAGUCCACGCCGUAAAACGAUGAAUGCCAGUCGUCGGGUUGCAUGCAAUUCGGUGACACACCUAACGGAUUAAGCAUUCCGCCUGGGGAGUACGGUCGCAAGA